This 209-nucleotide microRNA precursor is filed under the name Oryza sativa Indica Group (long-grained rice). Its description in RNAcentral is "MIR812 microRNA precursor family". It matches the Rfam family "MIR812 microRNA precursor family". The record is from Rfam by way of RNAcentral. Lineage: Eukaryota; Viridiplantae; Streptophyta; Magnoliopsida; Poales; Poaceae.
UAUAAGUUCAGUUUUGCACUAUUCACGUUCAACGUUUGAUCGUUCGUCUUAUUUGAAAAUUUUUUAUGAUUAGUAUUUUUAUUGUUAUUAGAUGAUAAAACAUGAAUAGUACUUUAUGUGUGACUAAAUUUUUUUUAUUUUUUUCACAAAUUUUUCAAAUAAGACGAACGGUCAAACGUUGGACAUGGAUAUCUACGGCUGCACUUAUU